This 433-nucleotide ribosomal RNA is filed under the name uncultured bacterium. RNAcentral's name for it is "partial 16S ribosomal RNA". It matches the Rfam family "Bacterial small subunit ribosomal RNA", at positions 29 to 507 of the family's 1533-position model. The record is from RNAcentral.
AACGAACGCUGGCGGCAUGCCUAACACAUGCAAGUCGAACGAGACCUUCGGGUCUAGUGGCGCACGGGUGCGUAACGCGUGGGAACCUGCCCUUAGGUUCGGAAUAACUCCCCGAAAGGGGUGCUAAUACCGGAUAAUGUCUUCGGACCAAAGAUUUAUCGCCUUUGGAUGGGCCCGCGUUGGAUUAGCUAGUUGGUAGGGUAAAAGCCUACCAAGGCGACGAUCCAUAGCUGGUCUGAGAGGAUGAUCAGCCACACUGGGACUGAGACACGGCCCAGACUCCUACGGGAGGCAGCAGUGGGGAAUAUUGGACAAUGGACGAAAGCCUGAUCCAGCAAUGCCGCGUGAGUGAUGAAGGCCUUAGGGUUGUAAAGCUCUUUUACCCGGGAUGAUAAUGACAGUACCGGGAGAAUAAGCACCGGCUAACUCCGUG